GACGAACGCUGGCGGCGUGCCUAAUACAUGCAAGUCGAACGAGAGCGACCGGUGCUUGCACUGGUCAAUCUAGUGGCGAACGGGUGAGUAACACGUGGGUAACCUGCCCAUCAGAGGGGGAUAACAUCCGGAAACGGAUGCUAAAACCGCAUAGGUCUUCGAGCCGCAUGGCUUGAAGAGGAAAAGAGGCGCAAGCUUCUGCUGAUGGAUGGACCCGCGGUGCAUUAGCUAGUUGGUGAGGUAACGGCUCACCAAGGCCGUGAUGCAUAGCCGACCUGAGAGGGUGAUCGGCCACAUUGGGACUGAGACACGGCCCAAACUCCUACGGGAGGCAGCAGUAGGGAAUCUUCCGCAAUGGACGCAAGUCUGACGGAGCAACGCCGCGUGAGUGAAGAAGGUUUUCGGAUCGUAAAACUCUGUUGUUAGAGAAGAACGAGUGCUAGAGUAACUGUUAGCGCCUUGACGGUAUCUAACCAGAAAGCCACGGCUAACUACGUG
Molecule: ribosomal RNA, 498 nt
Filed under: uncultured bacterium
Lineage: Bacteria
Description: partial 16S ribosomal RNA
Rfam family: Bacterial small subunit ribosomal RNA
Source: RNAcentral